AUUAUCAAAUUUUCAACUUGAGAGUUUGAUCCUGGCUCAGAACGAACGCUGGCGGCAGGCUUAACACAUGCAAGUCGAGCGCCCCGCAAGGGGAGCGGCAGACGGGUGAGU
This 111-nucleotide ribosomal RNA is filed under the name Ochrobactrum sp. 695/2009. RNAcentral describes it as "partial 16S ribosomal RNA". The stretch from base 14 to 111 matches the Rfam family "Bacterial small subunit ribosomal RNA", at positions 1 to 111 of the family's 1533-position model. Lineage: Bacteria; Pseudomonadati; Pseudomonadota; Alphaproteobacteria; Hyphomicrobiales; Brucellaceae. The record is from RNAcentral.